GUUUUGACUUUCUCUGCUUGUGAUCUUUUUUCAGGUUUUUUUUAUCUAGAUAAAGCAGUGUGGAUACUGAUGUGUUUAGUGAGUGUGUGGAUGGUUUACUCUUACAUUGAAUUCCUUAGAAAUAAAGCAGGUUAUGUAGGACUGGUUUGUAUUGCUGGAUUUCUUCAAGCGUUGUGGGUGAACAUAUUUUCUGAAGUCCCAGUCAAUUAUCCGAGGUUUUGGAACAAAAACGUUUUGUUCCUGUUUGGAUCAGUCGGUCUUGUUCUCGUGAACUCUGUGGCACUGAUGACAGACUUAAUAUUUAAAGCUGUUAACGGUAAACGUCUUGUUGAAGAUCAGAGAAUUGUUGUCUUCCCCUCCGAAUGCCUCUUUACCGUACCUCUUCUGAUUUUACCCAUUUUUACACCCUGUGAGUAAAAAUCUAAUUUGGUUGUAUUCGUGUAUAAACAAAAUGAUUGCAUUAAAUGUGUUGUUGAUGCUCUAGCAGUGUAUUAUUGUGCUUUACUAUUUAAAUGUGAUAUUAGGGCACACCUUAAUUAGCUGUUGGAGCUAAACUCCAACUUGGUAACCCCUGCAUUAGGAGGUUAUUUAAUAUGAUUAAAGCUACUAUAACAUUCACUCUAAAAAAUGUUGGGUUGUUUUAACCCAUGGUUAGGUCAAAUUUGGACUAAGUUAUUAAUAACCCUGUGCUUGGUUGUUCUUACCCAACUCUGGGUUAAAACAACCCAGCUUUUGGGCUGAAUUUUCCUAGCAUGGCAACAGUUUGUUCGAAGUUAAAUGAACAUUAAACAUUAACAAGUCUUUAUCUUUACAGAAUAAAACUAAAAUAACAGCCUCAUGCAAAGCAUUCUGGGAACCAGAAAUCUAAUGGAUAAAAAAACAGAAAAAGGUUGAUGAGGAUUUCUGGUUCCCAGAAUGCUUUGCAGCUCCAGUGUCUUUGUGAUUUUUUGUAUUUACUAAGACUGAUUAAUACAUUGUCUGCUCUCACACUUCAGGGACAGCUUUCAGAUCAGAAUCUCAAGGGGACUCUCUGAACUUAGAGGAUUUUGAUGGGACUCACACUGAAAAGUGGACCGAUUUUAACCAGAACCAGAGGACAGGAGAAUCUUUUGAAAUGAAAGUUGUAACCUUUGAGCAAUGAGGAGGAAGAGGAGGAUAUCACCUGACCUGACCUGAGGUCUUUCAGCCUGGUCCGUAUUGUGAGAGGUCCUUUAGGCAUAGAUCUUUUUUGUUACUCCCAGAUAACAACCGCAUAUAAUUAAUAACAAGCCUCAUUGGGCAGUUUUAUGCUUAUAAAUAUAUGGCUUAAAGGAAAUGUUGUGAAAUGUUUCAUUUCUUAAAAAUGAGCUGAAAAAAGAUCACGUUAUACUUACUGUGUGGCGAGUAGCUGUGUAAUAAGCAGGACAAUGUACAACCAGCUUGUUGAUAUCCUAAAUAAGUCCAUUCAGGGUUAUACAAGACUCAUCUGCUUAAGUUAAUGUAAACGGGUAGAAAAGAAGCAUUAACUCUUUCACUGGGUGCUUUCACAACUUCAUAUGCAUUUCUAGCUAAUUGUAUAUUGUAGUUUUGAAAUAUUUGAUUAGUUACCACAAAGGCGCUAUUUGUUUAUAAUUCAAAAAGAAUUUUGUUACGCUGCCUAUGAAGGUUGUCCAAAUGUGUUUUCCUGAGCUGCCUUCAUACCGCCAAGGCAAUAAGUCACUGCCUAAACUUUCAGACAUUGUAUCAAUGCAGCCUAUGACCUGCUAAUUUUGUACUUUUAAGUUUUAAUGUAUUAUGUCUUAUUUAUGAUGUGAAAUAAAUAACUUUACAUUUUUAAAAAUAUGGUAAUAAAAAUAUUUGAUUCCUUUAAAAUUCUGUAGAUUUACAGUACAUUCUCCGUAGUCUUUAUGGACACUUCAAUUCGCCUAUGAAAUGCAACAAUGGUGACAAUCAACAACAAAGCUUCAUGCCGCAAUGCAUGCUGGGUACCAGGAUUGUAAAAAACCUAUUCAUAACUCCCAUUCAUCAUACAUUGUGACAUGACAAAAUUGUGCAACUUCCUUACCAUUUACUGUCACCAUUGUUGAGAUUUGUAAACCAAUUGUUGAUGUAUCUCUAAAGCAAAAAACAAAAACUAAAGCAUUACAGCAGUCUUGAUCAAAACAGUGUCAUUUUCGUAGAACAUUUUUUUUUUUUUUGCUUAACUCUUUAUUGUUCUUUUAUCAUUUUACGUUUAAAUGAUAGGCAUGACAUAUAAGCAAUCAAUCUUAGAUCAUGUGAUAGUUUUUUUUUUGCUGUGUUAUAUAAAGUUUAUUGUAAAUCAAAACAUUUCUCAGGUAAUAUUAACUGCUGCACUUUUUGUAUGUUGAACACUUCAUUUUCAGCAAAACGAAACUGUGAUUUAAAGCAUUUUCUGUGAAUUAAGAUGACUUAUUACCAGGAUUUAGGUCAUACCACCCAUUUCAAACCAUCAGGGAAAUAUGUAAAAACAGUGUUUUGUUGUAUUUUCUUGUACUUGCAAAUUCGAUGUGACUUUAUUUCGAUAGUUAAAAGUAUAAAUAUUUGUUUGAAUAUUGUAAUAAAUGUUUUGUCUCAUGUC
Molecule: non-coding RNA, 2578 nt
Organism: Misgurnus anguillicaudatus (oriental weatherfish)
Lineage: Eukaryota; Metazoa; Chordata; Actinopteri; Cypriniformes; Cobitidae
Source: RefSeq, a predicted model, not a curated record